AUUGAACGCUGGCGGCAGGCCUAACACAUGCAAGUCGAGCGGAUGAAGGGGGCUUGCUCCUGGAUUCAGCGGCGGACGGGUGAGUAAUGCCUAGGAAUCUGCCUGGUAGUGGGGGAUAACGUCCGGAAACGGGCGCUAAUACCGCAUACGUCCUGAGGGAGAAAGUGGGGGAUCUUCGGACCUCACGCUAUCAGAUGAGCCUAGGUCGGAUUAGCUAGUUGGUGGGGUAAAGGCCUACCAAGGCGACGAUCCGUAACUGGUCUGAGAGGAUGAUCAGUCACACUGGAACUGAGACACGGUCCAGACUCCUACGGGAGGCAGCAGUGGGGAAUAUUGGACAAUGGGCGAAAGCCUGAUCCAGCCAUGCCGCGUGUGUGAAGAAGGUCUUCGGAUUGUAAAGCACUUUAAGUUGGGAGGAAGGGCAGUAAGUUAAUACCUUGCUGUUUUGACGUUACCAACAGAAUAAGCACCGGCUAACUUCGUGCCAGCAGCCGCGGUAAUACGAAGGGUGCAAGCGUUAAUCGGAAUUACUGGGCGUAAAGCGCGCGUAGGUGGUUCAGCAAGUUGGAUGUGAAAUCCCCGGGCUCAACCUGGGAACUGCAUCCAAAACUACUGAGCUAGAGUACGGUAGAGGGUGGUGGAAUUUCCUGUGUAGCGGUGAAAUGCGUAGAUAUAGGAAGGAACACCAGUGGCGGAGGCGACCACCUGGACUGAUACUGACACUGAGGUGCGAAAGCGUGGGGAGCAAACAGGAUUAGAUACCCUGGUAGUCCACGCCGUAAACGAUGUCGACUAGCCGUUGGGAUCCUUGAGAUCUUAGUGGCGCAGCUAACGCGAUAAGUCGACCGCCUGGGGAGUACGGCCGUAAGGUUA
RNAcentral lists this ribosomal RNA (873 nucleotides) under uncultured Pseudomonadales bacterium. Its description in RNAcentral is "bacterial SSU rRNA". It matches the Rfam family "Bacterial small subunit ribosomal RNA", at positions 28 to 896 of the family's 1533-position model. Lineage: Bacteria; Pseudomonadati; Pseudomonadota; Gammaproteobacteria; Pseudomonadales. The record is from RNAcentral.